UACGUAGGUGACAAGCGUUAUCCGGAAUUACUGGGCGUAAAGCGCACGCAGGCGGCUGAGUAAGUCUGACGUGAAAUCUCCCGGCUUAACCGGGAGAGGUCGUUGAAGACUGGAAGACUUGAGGCAAUGAGAGGGAUGCAGAAUUCCAGGUGUAGCGGUGAAAUGCGUAGAUAUCUGGAGGAACACCGGUGGCGAAGGCGGCGUUCUGGACUGCAUCUGACACUGAGGAACGAAAGCCAGGGGAGCAAACGGG
This 253-nucleotide ribosomal RNA is filed under the name uncultured bacterium. Its description in RNAcentral is "partial 16S ribosomal RNA". It matches the Rfam family "Bacterial small subunit ribosomal RNA", at positions 524 to 776 of the family's 1533-position model. The record is from RNAcentral.